GGAGGGUGCAAGCGUUAUCCGGGAUUUAUUGGGGUUUAAAGGGUACGUAGGCGGCAGAGUAAGUCAGUGGUGAAAUCCAACAGCUUAACUGUUGAACUGCCAUUGAUACUGCUUUGCUUGAGUACAGUCGAGGUAGGUGGAAUUCCAUGUGUAGUGGUGAAAUGCUUAGAUAUAUGGAGGAACGCCGAUAACGAAGGUAGCUUACUAGGCUGUUACUGACGCUGAGGUACGAAAGCGUGGGGAGCGAACGGGAUUAGAGACCCCGGUAGUCCACGCCGUAAACGAUGGUCACUCGAUAUAUACUCUAUAUGGGUAUGUGUCCAAGCGAAAGCGUUAAGUGACCCACCUGGGGAGUACGCUCGCAAAGAGUGA
RNAcentral lists this ribosomal RNA (372 nucleotides) under uncultured organism. Its description in RNAcentral is "partial 16S ribosomal RNA". It matches the Rfam family "Bacterial small subunit ribosomal RNA", at positions 527 to 897 of the family's 1533-position model. The record is from RNAcentral.